This 452-nucleotide ribosomal RNA is filed under the name uncultured Glomus. RNAcentral's name for it is "SSU rRNA". It matches the Rfam family "Eukaryotic small subunit ribosomal RNA", at positions 569 to 1024 of the family's 1831-position model. Lineage: Eukaryota; Fungi; Glomeromycota; Glomeromycetes; Glomerales; Glomeraceae. The record is from RNAcentral.
AGCAGCCGCGGUAAUUCCAGCUCCAAUAGCGUAUAUUAAAGUUGUUGCAGUUAAAAAGCUCGUAGUUGAAUUUCGGGGUUAGUAGGUUGGUCAUGCCUCCGGUAUGUACUGAUCUCACUGAUUCCUCCUUCCUUAUGAACCGUAAUGCCAUUAAUUUGGUGUUGCGGGGAAUUUGGACUGUUACUUUGAAAAAAUUAGAGUGUUUAAAGCAGGCUAACGCUUGAAUACAUUAGCAUGGAAUAAUGAAAUAGGACGUUCGAUCUUAUUUUGUUGGUUUCUAGGAUUGACGUAAUGAUUAAUAGGGAUAGUUGGGGGCAUUAGUAUUCAAUUGUCAGAGGUGAAAUUCUUGGAUUUAUUGAAGACUAACUACUGCGAAAGCAUUUGCCAAGGAUGUUUUCAUUAAUCAAGAACGAAAGUUAGGGGAGUCGAAGACGAUCAGAUACCGUCGUAGU